CGGGUGCACUGAUCCGGCCGGGCCUUUCCCUCUGUGGAACCCCAUGGCCUUCACUGGCUGUGCGGGGGAAACAGGACUUUUACUGUGAAAAAAUUAGAGUGCUCCAGGCAGGCCUAUGCUCGAAUACAUUAGCAUGGAAUAAUAGAAUAGGACGCGUGGUUCUAUUUUGUUGGUUUCUAGGACCGCCGUAAUGAUUAAUAGGGACAGUCGGGGGCAUCAGUAUUCAAUUGUCAGAGGUGAAAUUCUUGGAUCUAUUGAAGACUAACUACUGCGAAAGCAUUUGCCAAGGAUGUUUUCAUUGAUAAGGAACGAAAGUUAGGGGAUCGAAGACGAUCAGAUACCGUCGUAGUCUUAACCGUAAACUAUGCCGACUAGGGAUCGGACGAUGUUAUUUCUUGACGCGUUCGGCACCUUUCGAGAAAUCAAAGUGCUUGGGCUCCAGGGGGAGUAUGGUCGCAAGGCUGAAACUUAAAGAAAUUGACGGAAGGGCACCACCAGGGGUGGAACCUGCGGCUUAAUUUGACUCAACACGGGGAAACUCACCAGGUCCAGACACAAUGAGGAUUGACAGAUUGAGAGCUCUUUCUUGAUUUUGUGGGUGGUGGUGCAUGGCCGUUCUUAGUUGGUGGAGUGAUUUGUCUGCUUAAUUGCGAUAACGAACGAGACCUUAACCUGCUAAAUAGCCCGUACUGCUCUGGCAGUUCGCCGGCUUCUUAGAGGGACUAUCGG
Molecule: ribosomal RNA, 729 nt
Filed under: uncultured eukaryote
Lineage: Eukaryota
Description: SSU rRNA
Rfam family: Eukaryotic small subunit ribosomal RNA
Source: RNAcentral